GCCUAACAGCUAGCCCACCCAAGCAAUUUCAACAAACCCCUAUUAAUAACCCCUAAGUACCCCAGUAUUUAAAUUAAACAAACCAUUUUUCCCCCUUAGUACAGGCGAUAGAAAGGGGCCUACGGCGCGAUAGAGAAAGUACCGCAAGGGAACGCUGAAAAAGAAGUGAAAUAACCCAGUAAAGCCUAGAAAAGCAGAGAUUCAACCUCGUACCUUUUGCAUCAUGAUUUAGCAAGUGUACCCCAAGCAAAGAGAACUUUAGUUUGGCGUCCCGAAACUACGUGAGCUACUCCAAGACAGCCUAUUAAUAGGGCACACCCGUCUCUGUGGCAAAAGAGUGGGGAGAGCUUUGAGUAGAGGUGACAAACCUACCGAACCUAGUUAUAGCUGGUUGUCCAAGAAAUGAAUAGAAGUUCAGCCUCUUGGCUUCUCUUUUCACCCUAGUUUAACCUCUACCGAUGCAUUAAAGAAACCAAGGGAGUUAGUCAAAGGGGGUACAGCCCCUUUGAAUCAAGACACAACUUUACCAGGAGGGU
Molecule: ribosomal RNA, 536 nt
Filed under: Hemilepidotus gilberti
Lineage: Eukaryota; Metazoa; Chordata; Actinopteri; Perciformes; Cottidae
Description: partial 16S ribosomal RNA
Rfam family: Bacterial large subunit ribosomal RNA
Source: RNAcentral